This is a long non-coding RNA of Oreochromis aureus, 1496 nucleotides long. The record is from Ensembl. Lineage: Eukaryota; Metazoa; Chordata; Actinopteri; Cichliformes; Cichlidae.
GUGACUGGUCGUCGUCGUCGUCGUCCCCCCCACCAUUAGGGAUAUUAUUUGAAUCGUAGUUCUUAUGCUUAGUAAUACUUGAUAUACACACAAGACGCAAAAUAAUGUGGGAGUUUGCAACAAACACCUCAAUGCUGUUGCCCAUCCCCACUGAUUCAGGCAGAAGAAGGUCGUAAUGUCUCAUUACCAUGUUAUGUGGAUCCCUCAGUUGACCUGUCUGCUUAUACAGUGGACUGGAAACAAACUGACUUGAACAAUGUAGUCUUCUCGUGGCGACACGGGCAUGAAAAUCAUGGUGCACAGGCGCCGAGCUAUAGACGCAGAGUAACUAUCAACCCCGGAGACCUUAGCAGAGGAAAUCUAACUCUGCAGAUCUUCUCAGCACGCCUGUCUGAUAGUGGACAUUACAGGUGUUUUGUGCCAAAACUGAAAACCUUUUGCAUCGUUCAUCUUAAUGUAACCAAAGAGAUUAAUGUCAGGUCCAGCACAACCACAUCUCCAAAUUUCCACAGCACAACCACAACGCUGAAGCCAGAUGAUCCAGAUAAACUUCUUGACGCGCUCCUUCCUGUUGGUAUCAUCUUUCUCCUGAUUGUCGUUGGAUUUUGUCUGAAGAAACGUGUAACGAUCCGGCAAUGCGUGGGGGAGCUGAAAGGGCAGAAACGAGGAGUGGACCGUUCCAUCCACGUUGAACUUCAGUCUUUGGAGAAUUCAACACUGAAAGACGACAAGAACAAGGCUUCUUGAGAAAUGAGUGAAGAAGUACAAUGUUGUGCUUAUCUUUGAUUGGCUGAGUAAUCAAAAUGAUUUUAGAAAGUGUCCUCAAGCUGCUCUCAUUACGUUACAGCUGGUUUAAGUACAGCUUAAUUCAAAUUAAUUACUUUGGAUUGUUUUAAGUGGUUCUAAAAGCUCAUCCUUAUACCCAUUUAGAUACUUAUAUUUGAUCUGUGUCAUUGUCUUGUAUUUCAUAUUGGAAUAGGAUGUGCUUUUGUUUAGUGUAUGUAGCACUUUGCAGCUUGGCUUCAUUUCAGCCUGUGGAGAUUCCAGGAAGUAACUCAAUUAUGAGAACCAACAUCUACACUUAACAUAUUUGUUAUGCCAUUAUUAUAGUUUGAACAUUACUGUUCAUACCUACUGCUGUUUAAAGCACUUUUGUUGUCUUUGAGAAGAAGAGUUUUUGGAUGUCCUCUGUGUCAGUAAUCAAAAGAAUCAGAUCCAAUUUAAUUAAAACUACCUCGUUAUCUAAGGAUCUGGAAACUACAGUGGCUUGCAAAAGUAUUCGGCCCCUUGAACUUUUCCACCUUUUGUCACGUUACAGCCACAAACAUGAAUCCAUUUUAUUGGAAUUCCAGGUGAAAGACCAAUACAAAGUGGUGUACACUUGAGAAGUGGAACGAAAAUCAUACAUGAUUCCAAACAUUUUUUACAAAUAAAUAACUGAAAAGUGGGGUGUGCGUAAUUAUUCAUCCCCCUGAGUCAAUACUUUGUAGAACCAC